This 28-nucleotide non-coding RNA is filed under the name Mus musculus (house mouse). The record is from RNAcentral. Lineage: Eukaryota; Metazoa; Chordata; Mammalia; Rodentia; Muridae.
UGGAAUUGAUUCAGGACCUCUGGAAGAG